This 253-nucleotide ribosomal RNA is filed under the name uncultured prokaryote. RNAcentral describes it as "partial 16S ribosomal RNA". It matches the Rfam family "Bacterial small subunit ribosomal RNA", at positions 522 to 774 of the family's 1533-position model. The record is from RNAcentral.
AAUACGGGGGGGGCAAGCGUUGUUCGGAAUUACUGGGCGUAAAGGGCUCGUAGGCGGCCAACUAAGUCGGACGUGAAAUCCCCAGGCUCAACCUGGGAACUGCGUCCGAUACUGGAUGGCUUGAAUUCGGGAGAGGGAUGCAGAAUUCCAGGUGUAGCGGUGAAAUGCGUAGAUAUCUGGAGGAAUACCGGUGGCGAAGGCGGCAUCCUGGACCGAGAUUGACGCUGAGGAGCGAAAGCCAGGGGAGCAAACG